RNAcentral lists this non-coding RNA (178 nucleotides) under Fidelibacterota bacterium. RNAcentral describes it as "Candidatus Marinimicrobia bacterium 6S RNA". It matches the Rfam family "6S / SsrS RNA". Rfam says of the family: E. coli 6S RNA was the first non coding RNA to be sequenced, but its function was unknown until recently. It consists of 184 nucleotides that fold into an extended hairpin structure with a large single-stranded internal bulge. The record is from RNAcentral. Lineage: Bacteria; Pseudomonadati; Fidelibacterota.
UUUAUCCUGCAAUGGCAGUAAGAUGGUGUAUUAUUGGAACCAACAGUAUAUAAUUGGGAACUGGACUCCGGGCGUGGAAAACAAGCCUCCUUGUAGAGGAAGUUUGAGCCGUUCGGGAGGUGCCCACCGUGAUUAGCACGGUUCCUUUAAUUCUGUCUUUAGCUAUUGCAGGGUAUUU